This 353-nucleotide ribosomal RNA is filed under the name uncultured Oscillospiraceae bacterium. RNAcentral's name for it is "partial 16S ribosomal RNA". Lineage: Bacteria; Bacillati; Bacillota; Clostridia; Eubacteriales; Oscillospiraceae. The record is from RNAcentral.
GGAGUCUGGGCCGUGUCUCAGUCCCAAUGUGGCCGAUCGACCUCUCAGUCCGGCUACCGAUCGUCGCCAUGGUGGGCCGUUACCCCGCCAUCUAGCUAAUCGGACGCGAAGCCAUCUCUCAGCGGAUUUCUCCUUUUACCUCUCUAUCAUGCGGUAGUGUGGUCAUAUGCGGUAUUAGCACCUAUUUCUAAGUGUUAUCCCCCUCUGAGAGGCAGGUUCUUCACGUGUUACUCACCCGUUCGCCACUAACUUUCCAGAUUCUUCGACGAAUCUCCGAUUCUGAAUCGUCCGUUCGACUUGCAUGUGUUAAGCGCGCCGCCAGCGUUCGUCCUCGAGCCACUGAUCAAACUACU